Molecule: ribosomal RNA, 864 nt
Filed under: uncultured bacterium
Lineage: Bacteria
Description: bacterial SSU rRNA
Rfam family: Bacterial small subunit ribosomal RNA
Source: RNAcentral
GCAAGUCGAACGAGGUACCCCUGAAGGAGUUUUCGGACAACUAAAGGGACUACCGAGUGGCGGACGGGUGAGUAACGCGUGAGUAACCUGCCUUGGAGUGGGGAAUAACAGCCGGAAACGACUGCUAAUACCGCAUAAUGCAUUUGAGCUGCAUGGCUCUGAAUGCCAAAGAUUUAUCGCUCUGAGAUGGACUCGCGUCUGAUUAGCUAGUUGGUGGGGUAAAGGCUCACCAAGGCGACGAUCAGUAGCCGGACUGAGAGGUUGAACGGCCACAUUGGGACUGAGACACGGCCCAGACUCCUACGGGAGGCAGCAGUGGGGAAUAUUGGGCAAUGGGCGCAAGCCUGACCCAGCAACGCCGCGUGAAGGAAGAAGGCUUUCGGGUUGUAAACUUCUUUUAAGAGGGACGAAACAAAUGACGGUACCUCUUGAAUAAGCCACGGCUAACUACGUGCCAGCAGCCGCGGUAAUACGUAGGUGGCAAGCGUUAUCCGGAUUUACUGGGUGUAAAGGGCGUGUAGGCGGGACUGCAAGUCAGAUGUGAAAACCAUGGGCUCAACCCAUGGCCUGCAUUUGAAACUGUGGUUCUUGAGUGAUGGAGAGGCAGGCGGAAUUCCCUGUGUAGCGGUGAAAUGCGUAGAUAUAGGGAGGAACACCAGUGGCGAAGGCGGCCUGCUGGACAUUAACUGACGCUGAGGCGCGAAAGCGUGGGUAGCAAACAGGAUUAGAUACCCUGGUAGUCCACGCCGUAAACGAUGGAUACUAGGUGUGGGGGGUCUGACCCCCUCCGUGCCGCAGUUAACACAAUAAGUAUCCCACCUGGGGAGUACGAUCGCAAGGUUGCAACUCAAUGAAUUGACGGAA